UAGGGAAUCUUCGGCAAUGGACGGAAGUCUGACCGAGCAACGCCGCGUGAGUGAAGAAGGCUUUCGGAUCGUAAAGCUCUGUUGUUAGAGAAGAACGUUGGUAGGAGAGGAAAAUCUACCAAGUGACGGUAACUAACCAGAAAGGGACGGCUAACUACGUGCCAGCAGCCGCGGUAAUACGUAGGUCCCGAGCGUUGUCCGGAUUUAUUGGGCGUAAAGCGAGCGCAGGCGGUUCUUUAAGUCUGAAGUUAAAGGCAGUGGCUUAACCAUUGUACGCUUUGGAAACUGGAGGACUUGAGUGCAGAAGGGGAGAGUAGAAUUCCAUGUGUAGCGGUGAAAUGCGUAGAUAUAUGGAGGAACACCGGUGGCGAAAGCGGCUCUCUGGUCUGUAACUGACGCUGAGGCUCGAAAGCGUGGGGAGCAAACAGG
Molecule: ribosomal RNA, 429 nt
Filed under: Bacillota bacterium
Lineage: Bacteria; Bacillati; Bacillota
Description: Firmicutes bacterium partial 16S ribosomal RNA
Rfam family: Bacterial small subunit ribosomal RNA
Source: RNAcentral